Molecule: non-coding RNA, 105 nt
Organism: Pelobates cultripes (western spadefoot toad)
Lineage: Eukaryota; Metazoa; Chordata; Amphibia; Anura; Pelobatidae
Source: the annotation of a GenBank genome assembly
ACAGAGUUAGGAGGGAGUGACUAGUGACAGAGAGAGGGAUGGGGUGACUAGUGACAGUCACCCCCUCCCUCACUCUGUCACUAGUCACCCCCUCUCUCACUCUGU